Long non-coding RNA from Mercenaria mercenaria, 832 nucleotides. RefSeq lists it as uncharacterized. NCBI's taxonomy places the organism in Eukaryota, Metazoa, Mollusca, Bivalvia, Venerida, Veneridae. The record is from RefSeq and is a predicted model, not a curated record. The transcript is spliced from 3 exons.
UUGCUGUCAACGUAGGUGUUGUCAUCAGCUGUUGAAAAUGUGAAAUAUUCAUGUUGGUUUUACUAGUUCUGCGGUGUGUGUGCAAUUCCACAUCUGAGCACUGUAAGGUCUGGCAGCAAAAUAAAGAUGUAUUCAAAUGGAUCUUGUGCUGUGUCUCACAUCUGACAUCAUACUAGAAAAGGGUCAUGUAAACGUAACAAAAAGUCAUGCGAAUGGACAUCAAAUGUUGACACAUAUCGGUAUUUGAGACUUAAAUAUUCAGGAUAUAACUUCAUAAAACUGGCGGAUUAAACCAAAAUGCGAAGGUGCUUUCGAAUGGCAAGUAAAACAGUUGUGUCUCUUCGUAGGAACGAUGAUACAAUAUUUACGUAUGCAUUCAAAUGAUGCUGUUCAAGGUAACAAUCAAAUGAUGCUGUUCAAGGUAACAAGAAGAAGUUAACAUUUGGCAGUGUGAGAAAGGCAAUUUACUGCAUGACGGGAAAUGAUAUUUGCAUGCAUAUUUUAUCGGAGGCAGCUGCAAAACCACCAACAGGAAACUCUUUUUGAUAUUAUGUUGUGAUAGACUAUUUGACUGUUUUCGGCCCGCUUUGGCGAGACGGUAUUACGAUAGUUUUAUAUGAAAAUCUGCGAUAAAGUCCGGAAAUCUCGCUUGUGGAGAGAAGAAACUCGAUUAUGAUGUUCCCGCUAAGGAAAAAAAAAUCUUGCGUCGAACCAGAAGCUGUGUGAAUACAUCCCCGAGAAGAAAGUCACUACGUCGGCCAGCUGCAGUUUUUUACCAUCAUCUGAAGAUAGUAUCUUUCAGGAAUAAAGGCUUUUGGCUGGACCAGUUACU